RNAcentral lists this ribosomal RNA (253 nucleotides) under uncultured bacterium. Its description in RNAcentral is "partial 16S ribosomal RNA". It matches the Rfam family "Bacterial small subunit ribosomal RNA", at positions 524 to 776 of the family's 1533-position model. The record is from RNAcentral.
UACAGAGGUGGCAAGCGUUGUUCGGAAUUACUGGGCGUAAAGGGCGCGUAGGCGGUCCGAUAAGUCCCGUGUGAAAUCCCUCGGCUCAACUGAGGAACCGCACGGGAAACUGCCGGGCUUGAGUUCGGGAGAGGGAAGCGGAAUUCCUGGUGUAGCGGUGAAAUGCGCAGAUAUCAGGAGGAACACCGGUGGCGAAGGCGGUUCUCUGGGCCUGUACUGACGCUGAGGAACGAAAGCGUGGGGAGCGAACAGG